This is a long non-coding RNA of Megalobrama amblycephala (Wuchang bream), 297 nucleotides long. RefSeq lists it as uncharacterized. The record is from RefSeq and is a predicted model, not a curated record. The transcript has 3 exons. Lineage: Eukaryota; Metazoa; Chordata; Actinopteri; Cypriniformes; Xenocyprididae.
UAUAUAUAUAUGCUCUGCAAAUAUUGUUAAACAUUCGUUCAUUUGCGCCACUGUAUGUUUCUGUCGGUGGGUGCUAUAAUGUUGCACGUCUUGCAUCACAUGCAGGUCAAAGUUUGAGCGCACACAUGUAAUAUCUGUGAGUUUUGUAAUAUCUCCCGUUUUGCAAGAGAAAAGGGACUGGGAUUCCAACUGUCAGCGGAGAGUGUUGUCUGCAACCAGAAAAUCAGGAUGGAUCCGUGACCUGCCAAUACCUCAGGUCAAUAAGCAUGCCAUUCUUCUUUUUUUCCUCGAUGAUGC